GGGGCCCUGGCUGGUGUGGCUCAGUGAACUGAGCACCAGCCUGCGAACCAAAAGGUUACCAGUUCGAUUCCCAGUCAGGGCACAUGCCUGCGUUGCCCGCCACGUCCCUAGUUGGGGGCCUGUGACAGGCAACCGAUCGAUGUUUCUCUCACACAUUGAUGUUUCUCUCCCUCUCU
Long non-coding RNA from Phyllostomus discolor (pale spear-nosed bat), 176 nucleotides. RefSeq lists it as uncharacterized. The record is from RefSeq and is a predicted model, not a curated record. NCBI's taxonomy places the organism in Eukaryota, Metazoa, Chordata, Mammalia, Chiroptera, Phyllostomidae. The transcript is spliced from 2 exons.